Molecule: long non-coding RNA, 1440 nt
Organism: Falco peregrinus (peregrine falcon)
Lineage: Eukaryota; Metazoa; Chordata; Aves; Falconiformes; Falconidae
Exons: 3
Source: RefSeq, a predicted model, not a curated record
CUUGCCGCUCUUCGCUGCGGUAAGCCUGUUGCAGCUGCUCCCCAGAAGGAGCCCCGGGCUCCUGACGGAGGGUGGGAGGCUUGGGGUGGUGGGAUUGGACCUUCUCGCGUCUUCCCUUCACAUCUUGCCCUUCCAGAGCCUGGCGGUGCUCUGGGGAGUCAACACAGGGGGAUAGAGCGCCUUUCCCUCACAGAAACCCAGUGCGGAGCCGUUCGCCUCCGCCCUGCAUCCUGUCGUGAGGCACAAGCGUCCCUGUCCCUCCCCCCUCCCCGGCCCCCCUCGUUGCCCCUCUCUUCAGAUUUCUCUCUGCCGCAGGGAGCGGCGGAGGCCGCACGCACCCCCAGGGCGGCCGCCCGGCGGGGAGGAAGGCGGCAGAAAGCGCCCCACGGUCCUGGCAAGGCCUUCAGAUGACCCCGAAGGCUUUGCCCGCUGGCCUGCCGCGCUCGCCUGCUCCCAGCCUGGGCAGGAGGCAAUGCACAGGGCAGGCCUUCCCAGUGGGAAGCGCUGGGGACCUGGACUCGUGCCUUUGAGCGCCUAUAGAGGUACUAAGCAACUUUGAAAUAUUUUAGACAUGGAUGAUGACACCUAAAUUAGAAGCAAUGCUCAAAACUUCUUAGGAAUGAAUAAUACCUUCUGCUAGAAGGUUUCUCAAGUCUGUUGGUGCUUUAUGUGAACCUACAUGAUAAAUGUCUUGAAUGAAAAGAGUUCCUUGUAAUUGGUUGGUCUCCAGGUACGUUGCAUAAAAAAGGAUUAAAAAAAUAUUAGUGGAUGUAUUGCCUUCUAUAUCUAAAUUUAAUUUAUUCCUUACCCGAAAACAAAAACUCCAGCAAUAGUUUGGACUAGUGGAAACCUGUGUGGUAAUUGUUAGGACUUCAUACAGAUUUAGCCAAUCCAAAUCAGAAAAAAGUCAGGAAAGCUUGUGAUUGUUAUUGGAUCAGUUUAUUCUAACAUUUCCUCUAGUCUGGCUGUCCUGUGGAAUGGAAUCCAUACUAGUGGUAUGGGAAAGGAAAAUCCUGUCCUGCACAAAUGAAGACAAUUAUAUUGAGAAUUGGCUCUGACUUAAGGGUUAUUUAAUGUAGCAUGUUUAUAUAACCCAACCUCAGGCCACCAGUUACCACUUGUAUAUAUGUGAUGCAGACUGCAAAUUAAAGAAAAUUUGCAGGGAGGAAAGCAGCAUGUGCAAGGGAUUUGAACCGAUAUUAAACAUCAGCUUAGGAUUUCAUGAGUUGCUGAUUUCUGAAUUCAUACUAGAUGACUACAACCUGUAAUAUGUUGUUUUGAAAGUGGAAUUGAGACCAGCAAUGGCUAAAACUGCACAUCUUCAAUGAUCAUGUUUAAACAGGAACCGUGCCAUUUGCUGAAACAAGUUUCCUCAAACUGCUGUAACUUAUUUCUAUGUCUAUAUGUAUUAAUUGAAAUAAAAUGAAAAUGCUACCAGAA